This 367-nucleotide transfer-messenger RNA is filed under the name Endozoicomonas elysicola. RNAcentral's name for it is "Standard tmRNA". It matches the Rfam family "transfer-messenger RNA". Rfam says of the family: Bacterial tmRNA, also known as 10Sa RNA or SsrA, is named for its dual tRNA and mRNA-like properties. Its role is to liberate the mRNA from a stalled ribosome. The record is from Rfam by way of RNAcentral. Lineage: Bacteria; Pseudomonadati; Pseudomonadota; Gammaproteobacteria; Oceanospirillales; Endozoicomonadaceae.
GGGGGCGAUCAGGAUUCGACGACGGUUACGAAACCUAAGGUGCAUGUCGAGCGUGUAGUGACGCUCGUAAAUCAAAACACUACAAACGUAUUAGUUGCUAACGAUAAUAGCUACCACGGAGCUAUGGCUGCCUAAUAACAGCCGACUCCCGAUCACUCUGUUUUGUCUAUUGGGUGGAAAUGAUCGCAAUCGAAAAUAGAAUCGUCACAUCAGUUUUCCUGUAGCUGUUGGAUUAAAACCUUUCAGGAUCGCGUGGUUCACCCUGACCGUUGGGUCGUGCUGCGUUAAUUUAAAAACGGAAGCUAAGCAUGUAGAGCCGAAGGCGUAGAGCUGGCGGACGCGGGUUCAAGUCCCGCCGCCUCCACCA